UUUAAUUGAUGUUUUCAUUAGGGGAACUAAUACACGAUGCAUUCUUAUUCCCUCACAAGAUUUUAUCUCAAUGAAUUUUCAUUUGUAAGAUUUUUAAUGAGGCAUCAAAAAUGCGUAUGAAGCAUACUAUCUAUCAAAUAGACAUUCAAGGAGGAAUGUUACAAAUGUAUUUGUAUUAUUGUGAAUGUCUAUUUUGUAUGUAUCUUUUAGAGAAAAGUUAGGUAGGAC
RNAcentral lists this long non-coding RNA (228 nucleotides) under Solanum tuberosum (potato). Its description in RNAcentral is "long non-coding RNA (STUB_LNC001782)". Lineage: Eukaryota; Viridiplantae; Streptophyta; Magnoliopsida; Solanales; Solanaceae. The record is from RNAcentral.